This 269-nucleotide ribosomal RNA is filed under the name uncultured bacterium. RNAcentral's name for it is "partial 16S ribosomal RNA". It matches the Rfam family "Bacterial small subunit ribosomal RNA", at positions 793 to 1055 of the family's 1533-position model. The record is from RNAcentral.
GUCCUGACAGUAAACGGUGUACGUUUGGUGUAGGCGGAUUCGACCCCGUCUGUGCCGGAGCUAACGCGUUAAACGUACCGCCUGGGAAGUACGGUCGCAAGAUUAAAACUCAAAGAAAUUGACGGGGGCCCGCACAAGCGGUGGAGUAUGUGGCUUAAUUCGAUGCAACGCGAAGAACCUUACCAGGGUUUGACAUGUAUUGUGUCGGCGGUGAAAGCCGCCUAGCCGGGUUAAACCGGCGCUUUACACAGGUGCUGCAUGGCUGUCGU